Non-coding RNA from Peromyscus maniculatus bairdii (prairie deer mouse), 529 nucleotides. NCBI's taxonomy places the organism in Eukaryota, Metazoa, Chordata, Mammalia, Rodentia, Cricetidae. The record is from RefSeq and is a predicted model, not a curated record.
CUCAGCCUGGCUCAGGGUCCAGCGACCGUCAGAAUCCAUGGACAGCCACUUAACUGGGGAGCCUCCUUGCUCUUACCUGGAUGCCAGCUCCUUCCGGGACCAUGAUCUUCCACACGCAGUUGAGGCUGUUGAGAUAUCCCUCUCAAGUUCCUUCCUCUCUCUCUGUAUUCACACUGCCCUGCAGGACCAGAGAGUUAUUAGGCCUGAACAGGACAUUCUCCUCAGAUGCUGAGGAGGACUGCUGCAAGCCCUGAGGAUAUCUCUGAUGACUGACUGGCUGUGUCCCUCAGGGAGUGAAGUCUGCCCUUAGUCUUUUCCUCUCCCCGUCUCUCCUUGCCCUGUCUCAGUCUUGGCUAUCACUUACCCACACAGAACAGCUGCAGCAGCUACUUGAGGACCUGCAAAGGCUUCUGGUGCCAUCCUCUACACCCCCCCACCCCCGCCCCAUCUUAGGAGCCUGUGAUCACCUGAAUUUUUCUUCCAUUUCCCAGACAACCAAGUCGGCCCCUGGACACCAGCUCUUGGGUAA